GUCCUCAAGGGAUUAGCCACCCACUAGGUGCCUGCCCCGUGCUCGAUGUGCAUUCCUCAGCCCCCGCGCCCCCUCCGCUCUCUCCUCCCCCUCCCUGUCCCUGUCCCCAACCCUAAACCUUUUCCCUCUCCAUCCCGCAGCCGCCUCCCCUAGAUCCUCGUCCCCUUCACCCAGUCCUUCCCGCGGAUCCAAGGCGUGUGGACGCGGCGGCGAGUUUCUCCGGCGGCGGUGGCAACCUGCAAGCAAAGGGCAGCGGCGGCGCUCGAUUUGAUCUGCAGGAGAGAGAGAGACGGAGAGGAGGGACGCCACCAUGGGAGAGCAGGGCCAACAUGGUCUUCGUGGUGGGCAUGGAGGAGUAGAGGACGAUGGCGGUGGGGGUGGGAGCAGAGUAGCAGAACUUCCAGGCGGCGCUCGCGUCAUGGUGGAGUGGAGGAGCUCGUCAUCCAUCAUCACCAUCCCCAAUCUAGAUCUGUGAUAGAAAAGAAGAGAAAGAAUCUUGUGGAAUUUCAUAUCUGAGAUAGGAACGGGGAGAAAGAAUCUUGUGAAAGAGCAUGACGAAAAAGAAAGGGGUGAAUCAUCACUUUCUCCCAUUCAUGUUUGUUUCCGCAUUUUAAUUUUUAAGAUGCAGGUUGGCCAAUUGUAACAAUAGAAAUAUAUGUGCAACUUUUGUUUGUCUACUUCAAUAAAAAUAUAUUUUCACUUGACCUCGAGGGAGAUCGCAUCCAGUAAUUGUUUCCGGGAGAUUUAUUGGUGAAGGUCUAAACAUUUUAAGAGUUCAAAAAGUACAAACAGCAGCAUUGUAUCCGUACUGAAUACAAGUGAUUUGAAUUCUUUCAGUCAGUUAACAAGCAGUUUUCCAAUUAACAAAACGACAGUGUAGAAACUCUUUUACUAAUGAGAUACAUAAGGUGCAUAAUACUGGUUCAAACAGCAGCAGUUUUUCAACCAAUUAACAAAUAGUAGAAGUUUUACUACUGAGAUAAGCACCAGUUUUUCAGUGUACAAACAACAAUAGUUUUACUACUGAGAUAAGCAGCAAUUUUUCAGUCAGCUAACAAGCAACAGUUUUUCAGUAACAUCUCUCAUGUAUACUUCCAAUGCAUAAACAUGAGCAGAGAUAUGCUACAGUUUAGGCAAAGAAUGAAUCAAAAAAUCGCAGAGAAGCAGCAAAAUGAGUUCCUUCUUUGAGAGAAUGCAAAUCAGAUAUGUUUGUUUCAGGGUUCAGACUUCAAGAUAACUAAAAUGCAUCCCCUAACUUUUUUCAGGCAAGAUCCAGUUUCGUUUCUUAUAUUUGUGCUUCUUCAUUGAGUGCUCUCCAACUUUCUAUUGUUUACAAAUUCCAAAUAGAGCUCCUGGUUUGCUGUGUUGAUUCGUACCAUACAUAAGUUGAACUUUGUUUUCAAAUAGAAGGACCUAAUAAUCUACUACUUAUAUUAUGGGACGGAGUAGUAACAUGUAUGUGUGGCGGCACAAGGAGCAUUUCCUUCUGAGAAAAUAAUAGUAAAGAUAAGUCGAUGACACAAAGUACUGAAUAAAUCAAUACUUCUAAUGAUCUAUAUGAUACAUACUUUCCAUGUUACCUCUACUAUAUAGUUUUACAGUACAAUGUCACAUUUCUGAUCUGUAGUGUACCUCAGUUACUAGCAUGAUAUAAAGUUUAUGGAUAAUUGCCAACAGAGUUCUCAUAUGUUUCUAUGUGUCUGAAUGUUCACAUUCAUCAAGUUUAAGCUUUAUGUAUAGCUUAUAUCUUUCAAGUUAAGCAGUCACACAGUCGCAGGUCCACCGUUUCAUGAUUUUUAAUUUGCUAACUGGGUAAAGAUUCCUUGUCCUUGGUGAGAGACGUGGAUUCACAUUGUUUCGUACCAGAUGUAUGAAGAACAAAGCUAUCUUUCUUUAUCUUUAUUUCCCUCGACUACAUAUUAUUUAACUGUGUCAUGUUUAUAUCCUACUUGACAUGGAUACGGUUCUAUGAGAGGUCAUUGCUUAUGCAUCAGUCCUCAAGGUGGAUGUUGUUCGUUUAGAUAUUACGUUUUGUUGCCAUGUUUCCACAUUAGUCAAAAGUGUUCAUCUCAAUAAUUUAUUGAGAGUGGCUUCGAAUAAUAUGGCAUCAAAACAUUUGUUUUCUCUCAAGCCAAUAAUGAAAUGAUCUACGUGCAUAUAAAACGGGUACCAAUUCUUGGUUUUAAUUAGCUUCUUGAAAAAGGGGUGCAACAGGUCAAUGGACUAUUGUAUUGCUGAUGAUAAUGUUGUUUCGUAUAGAAAGGAAUUUUCUCCUUGCUUUCAUAUGUCGAUAUCAACUCACUGCUUGAUUCAGGUGCUUUUUCGUGUAGAUAGGGUGACAGGAAUAUUCCUGUUAUAUCUUUACCAGUUAGCACAUGUAAUCUGGUACUCUGUUUUCUUUGUCACUUUUAUCUUCACGAUGUAGUCAAGGCAAAAGGCAUUAGGAGACCUCCAGAGUCUGCAGAAUGGCAAGCUUGAAAAGUUAAGUGAUAUACAAAGUCAACCCGAGUCACAGCCCAAGUUCAUCAUAGUGGCGUGGCUCCUCUUUUAAAGAGGUUGUUCAUGCUAUCCUAGAUGCCACCGACAUGUACCGUCGUGCUUUCAUGAAAGAAAAAUGUAGCUAGGUAUGAUUCGACCAUCUUACUUCCUUUGGUUGACUGAAUUAAAUUUUAGAUCACUGUUCAGAACAAAGAUUCAAUGAUGGUGUUCAAAUUUCUUAGAAAAGCAUUGUCUGUCUAUUAUCCAUCUCAUUUAAGUCACCUUUUUCUUUGCCAUUGUGUAAUAGUAAGCAUGGUUUCCAAAUAUAAUUGUGCUUGCUACGAUUUUAGUUGUAUUGGCCAAGAAGAGAACGAAAAUACAAUUGCCGGAACUACUGUUGCCAUGUGCUCUUUUAUUAGUGUAAGUUUCUUAAUUCCAUUUCUACUUAUUUUCUGAUGGCUUCAGUGAGCUCUUAUAUUAUACAUGCAGUUUUGUUUAGAAAUAGUUGUUUGGAACUUGGGGCAUUAAGACUUCAUUAACAUAUAAAUCCUCCAUGCCAUUGUUGCAUAUCAAGUGAUCAGGUUGGGAAAUUUCAGCAAAAUCAUAGCAUCCACAUUUUUUUAGUUCGUGUUUGAUAGUUUGUUUGUGGGAGCUAAAUCCCACUUAACUAUGCUCGAAAAUGUUUUUCCACUUAUUUCACCUUUCUUUGAUAAUCGGAUUAAUGUUUGUGUCAGUAUCGAGAAUUACAUAUUAUGGCUGGAUUAUUUAAUCUUUGCUAGAAUAAUGUUGGAAACAGGAACAAUAUCAAGGUAAUUAUCCACAAGGUACCGCCAAAUAUUCUUACUUUUUUGCAUGGUCUAUGGAUUACUUAAUGCAAAUAACCUUGCCAGAGAACUGUGUCCGGCACACAACUGCGUCUCCAACCCAUCCCAUAUACCAGCUCCUCCUCACCCCUUCCUCAAUUUUCCGGUAAAAAUCUAUGCUUUGGUUUAUGCUUACUUGGUGGAGGUGGAUAUGGAUGCAGAUGGAGAGGCACAAAUUCACGGAUUGGCCAAUGAGAUAUGUAGAUUGAGACAAUAUGACGCUUCAGAUAAAUGAUGUGUGUAAUUUGGACCAAUGAAAACAGAAAUCCAGCCUCCUUUUUUUGUGCGGAAAUGGGCCCCUACGGUAAAUGAAGCUACACUAGAUCCACUUUACUUCAGCUAUUUUGCCAAUUCUUGAGGCUUCCUUGGUAGUGUAGAUUCAAGGAAAAUUUAUAAAAUUUAUGCAUUCUUCCUUCACUUUUUUGUGUGUACAUGUUUUGUAAUGUUGAGCUAACUCAGUUGCAGAUAACAAGUGUGCUCUGUAUUCAGUUUAGCUAACAUUUUUUUUGCUACUGUUAAAACAUAUACUGCUUUUUAAGGGAAACAUAACUAUUGUUUUGUUUUAUUAACCCUAUAUAUAUGAAAAAUUCCUUCUAAUUUGUUGUUCUUAAAUGCUGAAGGAGCCUUUCAGUGGUACGUGCACACGGUUUUCAUAUGUAUAACUGUAAUGAACAUGCAACACUGAGAAAAUUUUAUUUGUGAGUUGCAUGACCACGGUGUUAGAAUCCUUACCAUUUAUAACUUUUGUAUACAUGAACAUAUAAACACUCACUACAAUAAUUUCCCUGUUCGUGAGGUGUAAUUUUUAAGACUAGCGGCAGUGGGGAAAUCCUUAUCACUGUUCUUUUAUGUCUUAUCUGGUUAGCAUAGUGUUUGGUGAGAAAUGAUAAGAGCAAUACUUUCUGUUGAAUUGCUGAGAUAAAUAUGCUCUUCUUUUGCAAUUAACAGCUUGAGAAGCUCAUCAAUGCUAAUUCAACUGAGGUUGAUUGGGAACGUCCCUUCUAUUUGAAUUUAACACGACUUAUACUGUCACAGUGGCAUUGUGCAAGUAUGAUUUUGUGGCACUUCCACUGAGAUCUUACAAGCUUUGUAUGCUCUGAACAAUUGGCUAUAACUGCAUAAGAAUAACUAGAAACCUUUUUUGGAGAUCUAUUGAGGCGUCAUGGCUGGUGUGUGAGACACUAGAGUAGAGACAUAUCCAGGAGGCGCCACCGUAUGGAAGAGUCGUAAUAACAAUGGCGCAGAGCGCGUGUUUGUUCAGCAUGGAUGUGGCUGUGUGUUCAUUUGUAGGCUGAUAGCUUUAUAAGAAAAUUUACAUCACUGAUUCUGUUUUAGGUUUUCACUCAGACAUACAGUGGUUAGUGAUGUUAAUGCAUACAUAGUCCUAUAUGUGGCUUGAUGUUGCCGUAUCUUUCAUUCAAGAUCUUGUGAACCGUGUUGAUUUCUGGACCAAUAAAGUGAUAUGUUAUUAGAUGAAGCAUUCAAAUUUUUAUUUGUGUUCUGGCUUUGUAUGUUCUAUGCAGCCGUGUCCCUAGGGAUAGAUCCCUUGUGACCCUCCCCUGUUUUUGAUGCCAACAACAUGGUGCCAGGCGAGAGAAUCAUGAUUCGCCACCUCUUCCUUUUGUUUUGAUCCUACAGGAACACAUGAACCUACCCCAACCUCCUCGUGUCGAAUGAAUGAGUCUUGCUAAAAAUUGAGUUUUCUUAAUUAGUAUAUAUGGCUUCUCUGAACAUGACAUUUCUUCGUGUAUAGGCCAGAAGCUCUGUUAGUUGUAUGAUAGAUAUGGAAUUUCAAUUUGAUAGUUUGAACAAUAGUUAUCUAUUAGUUAUUGUUAGUCUGACAUACUUUUGUCACCUUCUAUCAUGUUUUAAGCUCAACUGAUGGAUGAUUUCUGCCAUGUUUUUCUUCUUCAUUUUCAUGUGGAAGUAUUAGAUAUCCUGGGGAUGGAUGUUUUAUUCGAAGAAUUCCCAGAAAUUGUGAAUCUCGGUGUACAAGAAUCAACACGAAUGCUGAAACAUUGUUUUUUUUUGCUGAAGAGGCCAGCUGUGAAUACCUUCAGCAGUACACUAAUGAGGCCAUGGUCAACCUUUAAGAGAGUGGUGUCUAUCCUUAUGGCCAGGAGCAGUCAACAGACGACGAUGAGGACCUGCCAACCCAGAGCGAUGAAAAUGCACCGUACGACCCAGAGAUGAGGACCUCACUUGAUGAUGAACAGAUCUUCGACAGCGAAGGAUACUGCUCUGAAGAUUUCCGUUUCCUACCUGAAGAUCACUUCUAACAGCCCUGCAAGAACCAUCAGAUCACUGCUAUCAUCAUUAGAGCCAGUCGAUGCUCCCUACUAAUAUAGUUAUCUAUAGCCAUAUGUAACAUAUAUCCUAUCGCACCAUGGCACAGUCGGUUCUUCCGAAUCUAUCUGCUAAGCCUUAAUGAAUCUGUAUGUACAUGUGAACCUCAUGAUGUAAUAUGUCCUAUCGAACCAUGUCACUCUCGGUUAUGCCAGAUCUACUGCUGGAUCUUCGUGCUUUGUUUAUUUGUUUUGCUACGCUCUGCUGUGUUUAAAUCAUAUGUCUGAUUGCAU
Molecule: long non-coding RNA, 5920 nt
Organism: Triticum aestivum (bread wheat)
Lineage: Eukaryota; Viridiplantae; Streptophyta; Magnoliopsida; Poales; Poaceae
Exons: 5
Source: RefSeq, a predicted model, not a curated record